CACCAGGUUGAUUCUGCCUGACGUAGAUGCUAGUCUCUAAGAUUAAGUUAUGCAUGUUUAUGUAAUAAGGACGAACAGCUCAGUAGAACUACGAUGAUUUAGUCUGUCUGACAGAGAUAACUACGUGAAAAUGUAGCUAAGAGAGGACAGAAUAAGACGUAGGACUAUCAGUUAGUUGGUAGUGUAAUGGACUACCAAGACGAUGACGGGUAACGGGGAAUCAGGGUUUGAUACCGGAGAGGGAGCCUGAGAGAUAGCUCCCACGUCCAUGGACGGCAGCAGGCGCGAAAAUUGCCCACUCUUUGCAGGAGGCAGUUAUGAGACGUGACAGUGAAUAUUCUGCAAAGAUGAAUAGGAGAAUUGGAGGGCAAGUUUGGUGCCAGCAGCCGCGG
Molecule: ribosomal RNA, 392 nt
Filed under: uncultured Microsporidia
Lineage: Eukaryota; Fungi; Microsporidia
Description: SSU rRNA
Rfam family: Microsporidia small subunit ribosomal RNA
Source: RNAcentral